GUGGGGAAUCUUAGACAAUGGGGGAAACCCUGAUCUAGCCAUGCCGCGUGAGCGAUGAAGGCCUUAGGGUUGUAAAGCUCUUUCAGCUGGGAAGAUAAUGACGGUACCAGCAGAAGAAGCCCCGGCUAACUCCGUGCCAGCAGCCGCGGUAAUACGGAGGGGGCUAGCGUUGUUCGGAAUUACUGGGCGUAAAGCGCGCGUAGGCGGACCAGAAAGUCAGAGGUGAAAUCCCAGGGCUCAACCUUGGAACUGCCUUUGAAACUCCUGUUCUUGAGUUCGAGAGAGGUGAGUGGAAUUCCGAGUGUAGAGGUGAAAUUCGUAGAUAUUCGGAGGAACACCAGUGGCGAAGGCGGCUCACUGGCUCGAUACUGACGCUGAGGUGCGAAAGCGUGGGGAGCAAACAGGAUUAGAAACCCUAGUAGUCC
This 425-nucleotide ribosomal RNA is filed under the name uncultured bacterium. Its description in RNAcentral is "partial 16S ribosomal RNA". It matches the Rfam family "Bacterial small subunit ribosomal RNA", at positions 354 to 796 of the family's 1533-position model. The record is from RNAcentral.